GCCAUGCCGCGUGAGUGAAGAAGGCCUUCGGGUUGUAAAGCUCUUUCAGACGGAAAGAAAUUGCUUUGGUUAAUAACUGGAGUAGAUGACGGUACCGUAAGAAGAAGCACCGGCUAACUACGUGCCAGCAGCCGCGGUAAUACGUAGGGUGCGAGCGUUAAUCGGAAUUACUGGGCGUAAAGCGUGCGCAGGCGGUUAUAUAAGACAGAUGUGAAAUCCCCGGGCUUAACCUGGGAACUGCGUUUGUGACUGUAUAACUAGAGUACGGUAGAGGGGGGUGGAAUUCCUGGUGUAGCAGUGAAAUGCGUAGAUAUCAGGAGGAACAUCGAUGGCGAAGGCAGCCCCCUGGACCUGUACUGACGCUCAUGCACGAAAGCGUGGGGAGCAAACAGGAUUAGAUACCCUGGUAGUCCACGC
RNAcentral lists this ribosomal RNA (417 nucleotides) under Uliginosibacterium sp. RNAcentral describes it as "bacterial SSU rRNA". It matches the Rfam family "Bacterial small subunit ribosomal RNA", at positions 391 to 800 of the family's 1533-position model. The record is from RNAcentral. Lineage: Bacteria; Pseudomonadati; Pseudomonadota; Betaproteobacteria; Rhodocyclales; Zoogloeaceae.